Molecule: long non-coding RNA, 9008 nt
Organism: Dermochelys coriacea (leatherback sea turtle)
Lineage: Eukaryota; Metazoa; Chordata; Testudines; Dermochelyidae
Exons: 3
Source: RefSeq, a predicted model, not a curated record
AACAGAGUCAAUAAAUCUGGGCCCUUUCUAACGAACUUGGGGAGUGAAUUUAAGUAUAGAGGACUCACUCCAAUUAACAGCUUGCCCCCAAAUUCCCUCCCACUAUUAGUCUAAGUGCUUCAACUGAUCAUACUUGUUGUGAUUGGACUGGAGAGGGGCAGAGUCCCUAAGUAGUGAAGACAAACCAUUUAGGAUCUCCUAGAUUAAAACCAGCCACUUUGGUUGCGCCUGUAAAUAAAACUAUGGAACAAUAGUGUCAUUUUCACUGUGAGAAAUGCCACUUAGUACCUGAAGUUUCCAAGUGAUCAGUAGAGCUCAUUGCAGUAAGAUACUGUGGAGGUGACAAAGGCAUUAAUAACUAUGACAAGGUCUGCAUUUGUGAAGAAAGAUUAUGAUGUCUUGCCAGGUUGAAAUACGUGCAGAAAAUGCAAGGUUUAAGCAGGUUAUAACCAGGCAAAGUGUUAAUUUUAAUCAAGAAGUGUGGUAGAAAACAUUGUCCUGAGUAUAAAUACCUGCAUUUCAAAAACCACCUCCCUCCUGCCCCCGAGUCUGUAGAGUAGUUCUACAAAUUGAUAUAAUGGGAAAGGAGAACAAGUAAUAACUAUGCACCAGAGUCCAAAGGGUAGCUGCUAAUGCAGUACACCAGUACCUGUAAGAAGCAGUAGAGUAGCCAGAGCUCAUAUAUGUCUUUUCUUUUUCUUGACCUCAUAUCUGUGUAAUAGGUGUGUGGUAGUACAUUUUUCACAUGUUACUUAAAAACCUGAUAGCUAUAUGUUUGGCUUCAUUAUCAUCUGGAAUUUUAGCAAUCUCUGCAGUGCUCCAUUUUAAUGCAUUGACAUUCUGAAGUCAGGGCAUCAUAACCUCUCCAUUAAAUAUUUGAUACAAUGAAGCAUCUUCUAAAUAAAGAAACUCUGAGCCAUCCAGUGUAGUUUAGGUAGUACUUUUAAAGAACAAAACUGGCAGAAGUGUUUUGUGUGUAUUCAGUGCUCGUUUUGUUUGUCUCUGACGAGAAAUAGACAUAGGCCCCAAUCCAGCAAAGCACAUGCUAAAGUUAAGCAGAUACUUCAGAGAUUUCAUUGACUUCAAUAGACUACUACACUUAAGUGCUUUGCUGGAUCACGGCCUGCAUUCUGUUGUAUGCAGGUCACUAAUGUUCUAUGCGUUGUUCCAAAGGAUUUUUUUUAAAUGGGCCUAUCUUGACAUUUUAGAACUGCAUAUUGGAAUCUGAGGAGGGGGGUGCUGGUCAGAAUUCAAAAAAUUAUAGCACACCAGUGUGGUUUUUUAAUUCAGACCUGCCAAAUGCAUAAGCAAAUGCUUUCUCAUUCUCUAGCUCCUGGGUACACAUUCUACUUUGCUGUUUCAAGGACAAAGGAAAUGCUUAUCCAACUAGAAGAAGCAUGAGAUUGUGACAGAACAGCUUUUCCCUUAAAUAAAAAAAGUUGGAAAAAGAAUUUUGACACUAAGUCAUUAAGUGCUAUUAAAAUAAUUAAUACACCAUAAAUCUAAGCAUACACAUAGGUCAUAUUACAAGUUGUGCUACUUUUGUCACUAAAGGUGCUAUGAGACUACACAUGAUUCUAGCUCUACACAAGUUACUUGGCCAAAUUGCAUUUUAAAGGCCUUACUUUAAAAAUGAGCUAUAUAUAAAAGUUUACGCCAAUUAAAUGUGAAGCCAGACUCUGCUAUAUUUGUAAAUGUGAUAUCUUUAUCAGAACUACUCUGAUUCCCCUACAGACUGAGCGUUAAUAGAGACGAGCAAGAUUCUUUCUUGUCUGACUAGUUCUGUGGAGAGCAUCAGCAAGAAGAAAUAGUUUGCCCAAAAUAUUUCUGAUUUUAUAUCCUAUCAAGGUCAUGGCUUUAUGGUCUAUGCAUUUCAAAUCUGAGACAUAGGCACCUUGGAACCACAGGCUCAAAUCCCUAAGAUAGUAUCCAUGUAGUUUUAUUACAGAGUCUUAGAAAAGUAAAGCUAGAAGGGACCUCAAGAGGUUAUGUAGUCGAUCCCCCGCUUGCGGAGGCAUGACUAAAUAUUCCUGAACCAUCCCUGACAGGUGUUUGCCUAACGUGUUCUUAAAAGCCUCCAGUGAUCGGGAUUCCACGACCUCCCUUGGUAACCUGUUCCAGUACUUAACUAUCCUUAACUAGUCAGAAAGAUUUUCUUAAUAUCGAACCUAAAUCUCCCUUGCUGCAGAUUAAUAUGAUUGCUUAUUGUCCUACCUUCAGUGUGUUAACCAGGAACUCAGAUCUCUCCUAUGAUUAACUGGAUGUGCUCUAGGUUCCACACCUCAGAGUCCCUACCCAUUAGACUUGUUCUCCCAAACCUCAUCUAUCAACGGAGAGAAAACUAAGGUCAGGAUUAACUAUAAAGGAAACUGCUUUAUUUAUCAGUGACUCAAACAGGAAACAGUGACUUAUAGGACCCCCAGCAUACGGGUAUAGGUUGGCACAACAAAUUGACAUAAAGUAAAGAUCCCAAACCCAUAAGGACAAAGGAGAAUUUGCUACAGGUAAGGUACAGAGGUACACAGCAUACUACACCAGGUUCAGAGAAAUGGACCCAUGACAGAGGACAUCACAGAUGGACUACAUUAGGACACCAAGGUGAAGACACAAGAGUUCCGGAUAUAGGUAAGAUAGGAAUCAAUCAAGAACUGAUAGCUGGAACUCUGGAGUUUUGGAUCUUCUUCUGUGGUCUUCGGUAGAACCCUCGAAGUCUUGGCUAGGACAUGUACUGCGCUGCCACCAGGAAGGACAGCCUUUCCACUUGGGUGCAGCAGUCUUUUAUGCUCUCCUGUUACUAGGCAGAACACAGGCCAUGUGACCCUUGCUCUUUCCUGCCUUAGAGAGAAAAAGGCAUCAAUUGUCUCAAGAAGAAGGUCACCAACAUGAUAGACAAAUAACUCCUUGCAAAUAAAAUGGCUAAGUGCCUAAACAAAAUGGAACUUGCAGUUUUUCCCCUACAAGUGGACCUGGAGGACAGUUGAUCACCAUCACCUUUAUAACAUCCCUUAUCAUAUCUGAAGACUGUUAUCAGGUCUCCAAGCAGUUUUCUUUUCUCAAGACUAAACAUACCCCAUUUUUGUAACCUUUCCUCAUAAAUUAGGUUUUUCUAGCCUUAGGCCAUUUGCUCUCCUCUGGACUCUCUCGAGUGUGUCCACAUCCUUCUUAAAGUAUGGUGCCCAAAAUGAGACAAUACCCCAGCUGAGGCCUCAUCGAUGAGUAGAGUGAGACAAUUCCCUCCCAUGUCUUUACAUAUGAGACUUUUGUUAAUACAACCCAGAAUAUUAGUCUUUUUUGCAACUGCAUUCAUUGUUGGCUCCUAUUCAAUUUAUAAUCCACUAUAACACCUAGAUCCUUUUCUGGCUAGCCAGUUAUUCCUCAUUUUGUAAUUGUAUGUUUGAUUUUUCCUUCCUCAGUGUAGUAUAAUUUCCACUUAUCUUUUCUGAAUUUCAUCUUGUUGAUUUCAGACCAACUCUCCAAUUUAUCAAGGUCUUUUUGAAUUCUAGCUCUGUCCUCCAUAGUACUAGCAAUCCUUCCCAGUUUGGUGUCAUCUACAAAUUUUAUAAGCCUAUGCACCAUUCCAAUAUACAAUUCAUUAAUGAAAAUGUUGACUAGUACCAGAUUAAGGACAGAGCCCUGCAGGACCCCACUAGAUAUGUCCUCCCAGUUUGACAGCAAACCAUUGAUGAUUACUCUUUGAGUAUGUUUUUUCAACUAGUUGUGAGCCUACUUUAUAGUAAUUUCAUCUAGAUCUCAUUAGCUUACUAAUGAGAAUAUCAUGUAGUACAGUGUCAAAAGCUUUACUCAAGAUAAAUCACAUGUACUGCUUCCUGCCUAUCCACUAGGCCAGUAACCCUGUCAAAGGAGGAAAUUAGGCUGGAUUGGCAUGAUUUGUUAUUGACAAACCCAUGCUGGCUCUUCUUUAUGACCCUAUUAUCCUAUAUCUGCUUACAAACUGUAUAAUAAUUUGUUCCAGUAUCAUUCCAGGGAUUUAAGCUAAGCUGACUGAUUCCAAAUGCCCCAUGUCCUCUUAGUUCCUCUUUUUGAAGACAUAUUAUGUUUACCCUUCUCCAGUCUUCUGUGACCUCACCUGUCGUCCAUGAGUUCUUGAAGAUAAUCACUAAUGGUUCCAAGGUUGCUUCAAGUUCUUUAAGUACCCUGCUGAAUUGAAUACUUCUAACUUAUCUAAAUAUUUUCUAACCUGUUCUUUCCUAUUCUGGCUUGUGUUCCUUCCCCCUUGUUAAUAUUAAUUGUGUUAUGCAGCCAGUCACAAUUAAAUUUUUGAGUCAAGACUGAAGCAAAAUAGGUAUUAAAUAGCUCUGCUUUCUUUGUGUCAUGUGUUACUACUCCUUUUCCCUGCUAAGGAGCAGACUUAACACUUUCCUUAAGGAUCUUUCAGCUGAUUCUGUAAACAAAAAAUCUCCUCUGUGUGGACAAUAAAGAUUCUGUGGCUGUUUUUUUAUUAGAAGAGGGUAGUUCUUCUCACAGUUGUUCUGGGUAAGUUCAUUGCCACAGUUAUGAGUGAGGCCUAAAAAAAUCAGGAGAUUGGCUUAAAAUUCAUGCAGUUUUGAAAAAUAAUAAAUUCCGAGGUCUUGUUCUUUGCCUUCUGGGUUCUGAGCCUUCAGAGUGCACUUGGGUCAUGUUUUCAAGCUUUUCUCUGAAAUCAUAAGGGCUAAAAUUUUACUUGUUCCUUCAAGUGAAAGCUGGGAGUGUCAUGUAAUCACAUGACUCCAGAAACUGGAACUUUAAGAAGGACACUGUGUCAUGAGACUCAAAAUUAUGAGAGUUUGCACCACUGGCAAGCCUCCCACCAGAAGAUUUUGGGAGCACAUGGCACCCAGCAACACCAUGUUGUAGCACCUUUCAUAGGUGCCCCUAUUGAGGGCAACAGUUCUAGACCUGGAGAGUUGUUUUAUGGGGCUGGGGGUUGACUGGCUGUUUGGGGAGGUGUGGGAAAAAGGAGAGGGAAUAACUGAAUAGAGAGUUAGGUGAUGAAUUGGCAAUUGCCCAGCCCAGUCCUGAGGAACAUCAGAGGGCAUGGUCCGUAGUGGAUUAAUGGGCUUUUGGUCCUCUAGUACCCUCGUGUGCAGAGAUGCAAUCUGGGCUGGCAACGGAGAGUGGGUAUCAUGGCCUCCUGCUCUUGACCCCUGCCUGCUAUUGGCCAAUACAUGUUUUGGAUGUUUUCAAGCUUUGGUCCAUUGCCUUUUAAUCAUUUAUUGUGGCUGUAUACAUGAAUCAUGCUGCUGUCCUAUUCUUUUUUAUUUGUAUCAGAUAACAUCCCCGUGCCCACAUGAUUUCAACCCUGAUACUACACUUCCCCAAUUAGCUCUGAAUGAAAUCCACACCGCUCUGCCUUCCCUAGUCCUCCUCAGCUGGGAGGUGGGGGGGGGGAGAGGGAGAGUCUACCCCUUGCUGGCUGCUAAAUCUCUUCAAGAAAAUUGGACUCUUCUCCAAAAAAUUCAAAACUGUGUUUGAUGAUGCUAUGCACUAUUGCAUGGCAGAGAGCCAGAGUUUCACAAGCAGCCUGCAAACUCUUAAUCAUAGGCCAGCAGUGGCAGUGACUAUCCACUAAGACAAUGUUCCUUCCCACAAGAGGAACUGCCAUCUAUGUGCAUGCAAUUCACCAGUAACCACUAAGGAAUCUGGGCGAGGGCCUGCUACUAAAAAGCAGUGAGUGAGGUGGAGUUACAGAGCUAAGCAACCACUCUCACCAUUCACAUCCUUCCUAAAAACUCACUUCCCCUGUGCUGCCUUCACAAAUUGUGUUAAGAAAGAAAACGCUCAAACCCAGAGCUAUCCAGGAGUAACUGAGUAAGCGGAGGAAGGAUGGUCCAGCAGUUCUGGCACUAGCCCAGGACGUGGAGAACUGGCUUCAUGUCCCUGCUCUUCCACAAACUUCCUGCGUGACACUGGGCAAGCCACUUAGCUUCUCUGUGCCUCAGUUCCCAGUUGUAAAUUGGGAACGAGACUCCUGUGAAGGUUAAAGCUUGAGUGUGCUCAGUCAUUUGAGUACCUAAGAUAGAUUUAACCACAUUAUCUUGUUGUUGUAACUCUUGCCACCUCCCCCCACCCUUUUGUUUGUUCCUAUAUGUUGUCUUACAUCUACAAGUGAGACUGGAAUUCCUUUGAGACAGGGCUGUGCCUGGUACCUUGUGCCUUGGAAUAUUUGGGGCACUCUAUAAAAAAAAAGUCAUAGCAGAUCAUCUUAACUCCUUGAUUGAGCAAAGUGAAAGCCUUCUUGGUGUAGACUUGGAGAACGAAGGCAAGUGAGGACUGCUGUUAAUGUUAUUAUUGCUUACUUCCUUAUAUAAAUAACUGCCAUGUGGAUAGAUGAGGUGUUGCUCAAUCUCACAGUUCUUUGUUCCCCAGAGAAUUUUAGUGAGUUAUAAAUCUUCUUAGCUGUUGACACUGAAAAAGCCUUUGGUGGUGGUAGUGGCAUAUUUCUAGAAGGUAGAGAGGGUUUGGGAAUGUUUUUCCCUGUCUCUGAUUAGUUCUUUAACAGUUACCAUGGUGCAAUUUGCUCCAUACACAUGCAACAGCUGUACUUUUCAUCCUGCCAUAUAGCAGCUCUGCUCCUUGAUGCAUAAACCAUGCAGCAGAUUCAUUGGUUCAGGAGGUUAAAAGUUAUUAACUGAAAAUCAAUUGAAAUAAAAGAGUCACAUCUGCUGCAGAAACACAAUUCGCUCCCCCUGACAGACUGCCCCUGCACUGCAGGAAAACAAACUGCAACAUUUGGGGAGAACAGAGAUAGCUGCAAAACUAUAACAACAGAGAGUGAGGCCGGAUCUAAUUAAAUAUUAAAGCUUUUGAGACAAAAUGUCCAGUGACAAAUAGUUCAACAUGAAGCAAACAAACAGUUCAGUUGUUCACAUGACUGUCCUCUGAGAUCAGGUUGCUAGGCAUUGCAGUGCAGCAGCUACAGGACAGACUGUACUUCUCAGAAGUAUUUUUGUAAUAAAAGUUUCUAGCGCUUACACAGCCAAACUGGCCAAGAGGGUAAGCUUUGGAAGUGUUCUUCUUCUGUUAGUUUCUUUCGGGGGGAAAAAAAUCCCUAGCAAUAUACAAUAAAAGAAAAAUAAUGAGAAACUAAUUAAUCAUGUUGCCUUUCUAUAUUUCAAUACAAAAGACCUUGUUCUCUCUGAAAGCUGUCGGAACAGCGUGCACUUACUGCAUUACGUAAGAAGUAUCCUUGGGGGGAAAAUCUGUUAUAAAGUAAUUUAAUUCUGGUUGACUCUCUGGGUAAAAACCUUUAUUGUCUAGAGAAUUAUUAAAAAUGUGUAACAUGGACAAUUUGACAGAGUAUUAGAUUUAUUAAGAACUUUAAAAGUCUUUCCUUAAUACACAAACUGCUUUCCAUAGGGCAGUUAUAAAGGCAGCUUGCAAGUUAUUCACAGUCCACUAGAUGGCAGCAGAUUAACUCUUUGAAUGCCAGAACAUGCUAUAUUUACUAAAAAGGACAUUCUGAGUGGCAUAAAUAGGUGUUGGACUGUAGACACAUUUUAUUUAUUGUAUUUAUCAUUUGUGUUAUCAUAGUGUCUAAAAGUCCUAGCCAUGGACCAGGACCCAUUGUUUCUGCUUAUAAAGGGAAAGUUUAUAAGCUUUUAUAAGAAAGUUUAUAAGGCACUCCCACUGGGGGAGGGUUAGCUCAGUGGUUUGAGCGGUUUGGCCUGCUAAACCCCGGGGUUGUGAGUUCAAUCCUGGAUGGGGCAAAAAUUGGGGAUUGGUCCUGCUUUGAGCAGGGGGUUGGACUAGAUGACCUCCUGAGGUCCCUUCCAACCCUGGUAUUCUAUGAUUCUAUGGAAGUAAUUAGUAGUUCCGGGUGCUUAAUCUGAGAUACCUUAAAGGGGCCUGAUUUUCAGAGGGUGGGUGACUCAUACUGAGCACCCAAAGAAUCACUAGUCACUUUUGAAAAUAUGAGCCAAAUAUGAUUCCCCUUUGCAAUUUCUUAUACAUUACAUUAUAGUGCAUCACAAACUGAAUAUGCAUCAAUAAUGUGAUGCAACUGCAAAAAAAGGCUAACGAGGUGCUGGGGUGUAUUAACAGGAAUGUCACAAGUAAGUGUCCCGCUCUCCUCGACACUAAUCAGGCUUCAGCAGGAAUAUUGUGUCUAGUUCUGGGUGCCACACUUUAAAAAAGAUUUGGGCAAAUUGGAGAGAGUCCAGAGGAAAGCAACAAAAAAAAAUGUUUAAAAAACCUGACCUAUGAGGAAAGGUUAAAAAAAACUGGGCAUAUUUUGUUUUGAGGAAAGAAGACUGAGGAGAGACCCGAUAACAAGUCUUCAAAUAUUUCCAGGGCUGCUGUAAAGAGGACGGUGAUCAAUUGUUCUCCAUGUCCACUGAAGGAUCACCAACUGUUUUGGAAACUACAGCAAGUAUACAGUAUAUAUAUACAGAAUCACUUCCUCCACCACUGAAAAAAGUCACUUCUGGAAUGGAAUAUGGCAAUUCUUGAAAAGUACAGAGCAACAACUAAUAAGGAAUUAGGGGGAAAAACCCCAAAUCAUGGGGCCAGAUCCUCAGCUGAAGUAAAUCAUCUUAAUUCCAUUGACUUCAUUGGAUCUAUGCUUAUUUAUACCAGCUGGAGAACCGCCACUGUAACCAAUUUAUAUUGCAGAUGGAAUUGAGACAGACGGAAUGUGAACACCUGAGAUGAAGUUUGGCCAAGAUGUCAAGGCUAACACAUACCAGGGGUAUGGAUAGUUAAUAAAUUUGACCUUUAAUUAAAGGGAUCUCUACAAACCAGAAUUGAUCAGGACCUCAGGAUUUACAUCUCAUCUGAAAGACAGCAUCUCAUUGCCCUUAAGACCAUGCUGAGGCAUUGGCUCAAUACUAACUCAGAAAAAAGACUGCCCGUGAGUCAAUUCCUAAUCUCUCUUGAACCUGGUUUUCCUUUUAGGCUUCCUCUCCAAGCAUAGGUUUCAGAGUAGCAGCCGCGUUAGUCUGUAUUCGCAAAAAGAAAAGGAGUACUUGUGGCACCUUAGAGACUAACAAAUUUAUUUGAGCAUAAGGUUU